AAAGAUAAUUAUUUACUCCUCCCACAGGGCUCCAAGCUGGCAGAAGCGUGGCUCGUUAGGCGUGCGGGCCAGAGAUGCGCACACAUCGUCAAGGUCAGCCCUCAAGCAUGGGCCUCAGGAUGGUUAUUGAUGAGCCUGCUGCCCUUUCCCAUUGUGGAGCACCAUUCUCAUACACAGGCCAAGGACUUCCUGCCCAUAAAUCAGGUCCUUGUAAUAGUAAUUAAUAGAGCGACCUGCAGAGGGUGAAUUCUCCUUUUACAAGGAACCUGAGUCCACUGAAGCUGGAGUCACCUACUGAACCCCCUGUGUAGAGUUGGAAAGCCAAGGAAAGUAUGGGUUCUGCCCAUCCUCCAGGGCCCUCGUGGUUAUUUUGGAAACUGCACAGGCUGAUGGAAUCCAAGUGAAGAGCUCUGCUGGAUUUCCCCAUCAUGUGCUGUGAUCAGAGAGUGUGGGACACACGACUCCAUGGGUGCCAAAUCAGAGCAGUGUGUUUGGGUUGCAGUUUGCUCAUGUGUGCAAAUUCUAUCCUGGAGCCGAAUCCAAAGAGGAGACAACAUCAAUGCAUGAUACUGACCCUAAGAAACAGAACCCUCUUGCUGAAGGACAGCCUGCAGACACAAGGCUGAAUGUGGAAUGUGAAGAGUCUGGAAACUGGUCGACAGCGAAGGAGAGGAGCAGGGAGGUGUUGAGUGCAUGAGGACAUAAGCCGAAGCCAAUGCUGGGGUUUCUGUUCCAGUUCUGCUUCUGAAUAUCUGUGAGGUCCUGGGUGAGUCAUUUCCCCU
Molecule: long non-coding RNA, 782 nt
Filed under: Dasypus novemcinctus (nine-banded armadillo)
Lineage: Eukaryota; Metazoa; Chordata; Mammalia; Cingulata; Dasypodidae
Description: lncRNA (ENSDNOG00000052120.1)
Source: RNAcentral